RNAcentral lists this ribosomal RNA (466 nucleotides) under uncultured bacterium. RNAcentral's name for it is "bacterial SSU rRNA". It matches the Rfam family "Bacterial small subunit ribosomal RNA", at positions 24 to 518 of the family's 1533-position model. The record is from RNAcentral.
UCAGGAUUAACGCUGGCGGCGUGCCUAAUACAUGCAAGUCGAAUGGUAGCAAUACCAUGGCGAACGGGUGAGUAACACGUAGGUAACCUGUCUUUAAGCCGAGGAUAACCAUUGGAAACGAUGGAUAAUACUGGAUAGGACAUUUGAAGGCAUCUUUAGAUGUUUAAAGAUUUAUCACUUAGAGAGGGGCCUGCGGCGCAUUAGCUAGUUGGUGAGGUGAAGGCUUACCAAGGCGAUGAUGCGUAGCCGGACUGAGAGGUUGAACGGCCACAAUGGAACUGAGAACGGUCCAUACUCCUACGGGAGGCAGCAGUAGGGAAUUUUCGGCAAUGGGCGGAAGCCUGACCGAGCAACGCCGCGUGAACGAAGAAGUAUUUCGGUAUGUAAAGUUCUUUUAUUAGGGACGAAAAGACAGAUUGACGGUACCUAAUGAAUAAGCUCCGGCUAACUACGUGCCAGCCGCAGC